This 336-nucleotide ribosomal RNA is filed under the name uncultured Pseudomonas sp. RNAcentral's name for it is "bacterial SSU rRNA". It matches the Rfam family "Bacterial small subunit ribosomal RNA", at positions 1051 to 1382 of the family's 1533-position model. The record is from RNAcentral. Lineage: Bacteria; Pseudomonadati; Pseudomonadota; Gammaproteobacteria; Pseudomonadales; Pseudomonadaceae.
GUCGUCAGCUCGUGUCGUGAGAUGGUUGGGUUAACGUACCCGUAACGAGCGCAACCCUUCGUCCUUAGUUACCAGCACGUUAUGGUGGGCACUCUAAGGAGACUGCCGGUGACAAACCGGAGGAAGGUGGGGAUGACGUCAAGUCAUCAUGGCCCUUACGGCCUGGGCUACACACGUGCUACAAUGGUCGGUACAAAGGGUUGCCAAGCCGCGAGGUGGAGCUAAUCCCAUAAAACCGAUCGUAGUCCGGAUCGCAGUCUGCAACUCGACUGCGUGAAGUCGGAAUCGCUAGUAAUCGUGAAUCAGAAUGUCACGGUGAAUACGUUCCCGGGCCUU